GCCAGGCGUGGUGGUGCACGCCUGUAAUCCCAGCUACUUGGGAGGCUGAGGCAGGAGAAUUGCUUGAGCCCGGGAGGUGGAGGUAGCAGUGAACCGACAUCGUGCCACUGCAUUCCAGCCUGGCCGACAGAGCAAGACUCUGUCUCAA
This 148-nucleotide non-coding RNA is filed under the name Nomascus leucogenys (northern white-cheeked gibbon). Lineage: Eukaryota; Metazoa; Chordata; Mammalia; Primates; Hylobatidae. The record is from Rfam by way of RNAcentral.